This 72-nucleotide transfer RNA is filed under the name Intestinimonas butyriciproducens. Its description in RNAcentral is "tRNA-Thr". It matches the Rfam family "tRNA". From Rfam's summary of the family: Transfer RNA (tRNA) molecules are approximately 80 nucleotides in length. Their secondary structure includes four short double-helical elements and three loops (D, anti-codon, and T loops). Further hydrogen bonds mediate the characteristic L-shaped molecular structure. tRNAs have two regions of fundamental functional importance: the anti-codon, which is responsible for specific mRNA codon recognition, and the 3' end, to which the tRNAs corresponding amino acid is attached (by aminoacyl-tRNA synthetases). tRNAs cope with the degeneracy of the genetic code in two manners: having more than one tRNA (with a specific anti-codon) for a particular amino acid; and 'wobble' base-pairing, i.e. permitting non-standard base-pairing at the 3rd anti-codon position. Lineage: Bacteria; Bacillati; Bacillota; Clostridia; Eubacteriales. The record is from RNAcentral.
UGCGGGGUGGUGUAGUGGUGAACAUUAGUCUCUUGUCAUGACUGGCCGCUGGUUCGAUUCCAGCUCCCGCAC